This 398-nucleotide ribosomal RNA is filed under the name uncultured bacterium. RNAcentral describes it as "partial 16S ribosomal RNA". It matches the Rfam family "Bacterial small subunit ribosomal RNA", at positions 523 to 918 of the family's 1533-position model. The record is from RNAcentral.
AUACGUAGGGUGCGAGCGUUGUCCGGAAUUACUGGGCGUAAAGAGCUCGUAGGUGGUUUGUCGCGUCGUCUGUGAAAUUCCGGGGCUUAACUCCGGGCGUGCAGGCGAUACGGGCAUAACUUGAGUACUGUAGGGGAGACUGGAAUUCCUGGUGUAGCGGUGAAAUGCGCAGAUAUCAGGAGGAAAACCGGUGGCGAAGGCGGGUCUCUGGGCAGUAACUGACGCUGAGGAGCGAAAGCAUGGGUAGCGAACAGGAUUAGAUACCCUGGUAGUCCAUGCCGUAAACGGUGGGCGCUAGGUGUAGGGGUCUUCCACGACUUCUGUGCCGUAGCUAACGCAUUAAGCGCCCCGCCUGGGGAGUACGGCCGCAAGGCUAAAACUCAAAUGAAUUGACGGGG